Molecule: ribosomal RNA, 492 nt
Filed under: uncultured bacterium
Lineage: Bacteria
Description: partial 16S ribosomal RNA
Rfam family: Bacterial small subunit ribosomal RNA
Source: RNAcentral
AGUGAACGCUGGCGGUAGGCCUAACACAUGCAAGUCGAACGGCAGCACAGUAAGAGCUUGCUCUUACGGGUGGCGAGUGGCGGACGGGUGAGGAAUACAUCGGAAUCUACUUUUUCGUGGGGGAUAACGUAGGGAAACUUACGCUAAUACCGCAUACGACCUACGGGUGAAAGCAGGGGAUCUUCGGACCUUGCGCGAUUGAAUGAGCCGCUGUCGGAUUAGCUAGUUGGCGGGGUAAAGGCCCACCAAGGCGACGAUACGUAGCUGGUCUGAGAGGAUGAUCAGCCACACUGGAACUGAGACACGGUCCAGACUCCUACGGGAGGCAGCAGUGGGGAAUAUUGGACAAUGGGCGCAAGCCUGAUCCAGCCAUACCGCGUGGGUGAAGAAGGCCUUCGGGUUGUAAAGCCCUUUUGUUGGGAAAGAAAAGCAGCAGGUUAAUACCCCGCUGUUCUGACGGUACCCAAAGAAUAAGCACCGGCUAACUUCGUG